AGACGGUUGGCUCAGUUGGUAAGAGCACUCGGACCGAAUCCGAGAGGCGCGGGUUUGAGUCCCGCAUCAUUUA
This is a non-coding RNA of Leptidea sinapis, 73 nucleotides long. The record is from the annotation of a RefSeq genome assembly. NCBI's taxonomy places the organism in Eukaryota, Metazoa, Arthropoda, Insecta, Lepidoptera, Pieridae.